AGAACGAACGCUGGCGGCAGGCUUAACACAUGCAAGUCGAACGCUCGUAGCAAUACGGGAGUGGCAGACGGGUGAGUAACGCGUGGGAACAUACCCUCCGGUUCGGAAUAGCUCAGGGAAACUUGGAUUAAUACCGGAUACGGCUGAGAGGCGAAAGAUUUAUCGCCGGAGGAUUGGCCCGCGUUCGAUUAGCUAGUUGGUGAGGUAACGGCUCACCAAGGCGAUGAUCGAUAGCUGGUCUGAGAGGAUGAUCAGCCACAUUGGGACUGAGACACGGCCCAAACUCCUACGGGAGGGAGCAGUGGGGAAUAUUGGACAAUGGGCGCAAGCCUGAUCCAGCCAUGCCGCGUGAGUGAUGACGGCCUUAGGGUGUAAAGCUCUUUCGCUCGGGACGAUAAUGACGGUACCGAGAUAAGAAGCCCCAGCUAACUUCGUGCCAGCAGCCGC
RNAcentral lists this ribosomal RNA (447 nucleotides) under uncultured bacterium. RNAcentral describes it as "SSU rRNA". It matches the Rfam family "Bacterial small subunit ribosomal RNA", at positions 26 to 518 of the family's 1533-position model. The record is from RNAcentral.